UUUACAAAGUGUGUCUCCUACUGACUGAGUAUCGAAGUUUUAAGCCUUAAAACCAAUUAAUCCAACAACACCAACCGGCGUCAACGCACACCUCAGUCAACAUGAAACGAUUCUUUCGAAUAUUUUUUUUCGUUAUUGUACUGGGACUGGCAAACAGCAUAGCAAUAAGCCAAGAUCGAGUGAAUGCAGCACGGACAAUCUGUGGUAAUCGAAUUUCGACAGACCCCAAACCAUCGAAUGCACUACCCGCAAUGAAUAAAUUUGAAUUUGUUGGUCGAGCUAGGGAUUUAAAUCGAGCAUCAGUACCAGGUUCCCAAACUGGCACAGCGAAACCGGUUGCAUUUGCAAUUCAAAUGAACAAAUCGGAAUUUGUUGGCGGUCGACACAAUUCGGAUGAGUCAGGAAUGCAGCAAAUAGACAAAAGGAUUGUCGUAGCACCACAAAUGAAUAAGGCGGAAUUGGUAGGAGCUUGAAAUUAGUGUCCCUUUGCUCAAAUCAAUAAAGAAGUUCGUACUGCGUCAAAGAAGACACUCCU
Molecule: long non-coding RNA, 535 nt
Organism: Bradysia coprophila
Lineage: Eukaryota; Metazoa; Arthropoda; Insecta; Diptera; Sciaridae
Source: RefSeq, a predicted model, not a curated record